Molecule: ribosomal RNA, 615 nt
Filed under: uncultured bacterium
Lineage: Bacteria
Description: bacterial SSU rRNA
Rfam family: Bacterial small subunit ribosomal RNA
Source: RNAcentral
CCUACGGGAGGCAGCAGUGGGGAAUUUUGGACAAUGGGCGCAAGCCUGAUCCAGCCAUGCCGCGUGCAGGAUGAAGGCCUUCGGGUUGUAAACUGCUUUUGUACGGAACGAAAAGACUCUGGUUAAUACCUGGGGUCCAUGACGGUACCGUAAGAAUAAGCACCGGCUAACUACGUGCCAGCAGCCGCGGUAAUACGUAGGGUGCGAGCGUUAAUCGGAAUUACUGGGCGUAAAGCGUGCGCAGGCGGUUAUAUAAGACAGAUGUGAAAUCCCCGGGCUCAACCUGGGAACUGCAUUUGUGACUGUAUAGCUAGAGUACGGCAGAGGGGGAUGGAAUUCCGCGUGUAGCAGUGAAAUGCGUAGAUAUGCGGAGGAACACCGAUGGCGAAGGCAAUCCCCUGGGCCUGUACUGACGCUCAUGCACGAAAGCGUGGGGAGCAAACAGGAUUAGAUACCCUGGUAGUCCACGCCCUAAACGAUGUCAACUGGUUGUUGGGUCUUCACUGACUCAGUAACGAAGCUAACGCGUGAAGUUGACCGCCUGGGGAGUACGGCCGCAAGGUUGAAACUCAAAUGAAUUGAGGCUGAGACGNGCGAGCGACGACGAGGGAGAGG